This 253-nucleotide ribosomal RNA is filed under the name uncultured bacterium. RNAcentral's name for it is "partial 16S ribosomal RNA". It matches the Rfam family "Bacterial small subunit ribosomal RNA", at positions 524 to 776 of the family's 1533-position model. The record is from RNAcentral.
UACGGGGGGGGCAAGCGUUGUUCGGAAUUACUGGGCGUAAAGGGCUCGUAGGCGGCUCGCUAAGUCAGACGUGAAAUCCCCCGGCUUAACCUGGGAACUGCGUCUGAUACUGGAAGACUUGAGUGCGGGAGAGGGAUGUGGAAUUCCAGGUGUAGCGGUGAAAUGCGUAGAUAUCUGGAGGAACACCGGUGGCGAAGGCGGCAUCCUGGACCGACACUGACGCUGAGGCGCGAAAGCUAGGGUAGCAAACGGG